RNAcentral lists this ribosomal RNA (465 nucleotides) under uncultured Comamonadaceae bacterium. Its description in RNAcentral is "bacterial SSU rRNA". It matches the Rfam family "Bacterial small subunit ribosomal RNA", at positions 338 to 795 of the family's 1533-position model. Lineage: Bacteria; Pseudomonadati; Pseudomonadota; Betaproteobacteria; Burkholderiales; Comamonadaceae. The record is from RNAcentral.
CCUACGGGAGGCUGCAGUGGGGAAUUUUGGACAAUGGGGGCAACCCUGAUCCAGCCAUGCCGCGUGCAGGAUGAAGGCCUUCGGGUUGUAAACUGCUUUUGUACGGAACGAAAAGACUCUGGUUAAUACCUGGGGUCCAUGACGGUACCGUAAGAAUAAGCACCGGCUAACUACGUGCCAGCAGCCGCGGUAAUACGUAGGGUGCAAGCGUUAAUCGGAAUUACUGGGCGUAAAGCGUGCGCAGGCGGUGAUGUAAGACAGAGGUGAAAUCCCCGGGCUCAACCUGGGAACUGCCUUUGUGACUGCAUCGCUGGAGUGCGGCAGAGGGGGAUGGAAUUCCGCGUGUAGCAGUGAAAUGCGUAGAUAUGCGGAGGAACACCGAUGGCGAAGGCAAUCCCCUGGGCCUGCACUGACGCUCAUGCACGAAAGCGUGGGGAGCAAACAGGAUUAGAUACCCCUGUAGUC